GACGAACGCUGGCGGCAUGCCUAACACAUGCAAGUCGAGCGAGUAGAUCCCUUCGGGGUGAAGCUAGCGGCGGACGGGUGAGUAACACGUGGGCAACCUGCCUCAUAGAGGGAAAUAGCCUUCCGAAAGGAAGAUUAAUACCGCAUAAGAUUGUAGCUUCGCAUGAAGCAGCAAUUAAAGGAGCAAUCCGCUAUGAGAUGGGCCCGCGGCGCAUUAGCUAGUUGGUGAGGUAACGGCUCACCAAGGCGACGAUGCGUAGCCGACCUGAGAGGGUGAUCGGCCACAUUGGGACUGAGACACGGCCCAGGCUCCUACGGGAGGCAGCAGUGGGGAAUAUUGCACAAUGGGGGAAACCCUGAUGCAGCAAUGCCGCGUGAGUGAUGACGGCCUUCGGGUUGUAAAGCUCUGUCUUCGGGGACGAUAAUGACGGUACCCGAGGAGGAAGCCACGGCUAACUACGUGCCAGCCGCCGCGGUAA
This 478-nucleotide ribosomal RNA is filed under the name uncultured bacterium. Its description in RNAcentral is "partial 16S ribosomal RNA". It matches the Rfam family "Bacterial small subunit ribosomal RNA", at positions 28 to 523 of the family's 1533-position model. The record is from RNAcentral.